Molecule: ribosomal RNA, 2211 nt
Filed under: gut metagenome
Description: bacterial LSU rRNA
Rfam family: Bacterial large subunit ribosomal RNA
Source: RNAcentral
AGGGCGCAUGGCGGAUGCCUUGGCUCUCGGAGGCGAUGAAGGACGUGAUAAGCUGCGAUAAGCUUUGGGGAGGUGCAAAUGACCUUUGAUCCAGAGAUUUCCGAAUGGGACAACCCAAUAUCUUGAAGAGGUAUUAUCCAACGUUGUUGGAGGCUAACGCAGGGAACUGAAACAUCUUAGUACCUGCAGGAAAAGAAAAUAAACAAUGAUUCCCCCAGUAGUGGCGAGCGAACGGGGAACAGCCCAAACCAUCCAUGUUACGGCAUGGGUGGGGUUGUAGGACUACGCCGUUGCAUGAAGACAUCAGAGAAGAACUUUCUGGAAAGAAAGACCAUAGAGCAUGACAGUUGCGUAUUCGAAUGUUGUCGAAGCAUAGUAGUAUCCUGAGUAGCGCGGAGCACGAGGAAUUCUGCGUGAAUCUGCCGGGACCAUCCGGUAAGGCUAAAUACUCCCGAGAGACCGAUAGCGAACCAGUACCGUGAGGGAAAGGUGAAAAGCACUUCGAACAGAAGAGUGAAAUAGUUCCUGAAACCGUGCGCCUACAAGCGGUCGGAGCUCGUUAAUGAGUGACGGCGUGCCUUUUGCAUAAUGAACCUACGAGUUGCCUUUGCCGGCAAGGUUAAGUGUGACGACACACGUAUCCGAAGCGAAAGCGAGUCUGAACAGGGCGUAUAGUCGGCAGUGGCAGACGCGAAACCAAGUGAUCUACCCUUGGCCAGGUUGAAGGCUGGGUAACACCAGCUGGAGGACCGCACCAAUAAGCGUUGAAAAGCUUCUGGAUGAGCUGAGGGUAGGGGUGAAAGGCUAAUCAAACUUGGAGAUAGCUCGUACUCCCCGAAAUGCAUUUAGGUGCAGCCUUGCGGGUUACUGAUGUGAGGUAGAGCGACUGAUAAGAUGCGAGGGCUUCACCGCCUAUCAAGUCUUGACAAACUCCGAAUGCGCAUCAGUUCUACCGCAGGAGUGAGGGCAUGGGUGCUAAGGUCCGUGCCCGAGAGGAGAAGAAUCCGGACCACCUGCUAAGGUCCCGAAAUGACAGCUAAGUUAAACUAACGAAGUCUGACUGCUAAGACAGCUAGGAUGUUGGCUUGGAAGCAGCCAUUCAUUUAAAGAGUGCGUAACAGCUCACUAGUCGAGGAGUCGGGCGUGGAUAAUAAUCGGGUAUGAAGUUGUCUACCGAAGCAGUGGGAUCAUUUAUAUGAUCGGUAGGGGAGCAUUCCAGUCGGCGUCGAAGGCGUACCGUGAGGUAUUCUGGAGCGUCUGGAAAAGCAAAUGUAGGUAUAAGUAACGAUAAAGGGGGCGGGAAACCCCCUCGCCGAAAGACUAAGGUUUCCUGAUCAACGCUAAUCGGAUCAGGGUCAGUCGGGUCCUAAGGCUCAGCCGAACGGCGAUGCCGAUGGCAGAAACGGUUAAUAUUCCGUUACUACCUUCAGGAGUGACGUGGAGACGCAGUAGUGACAGUGCCGCCAUCUGACGGAAUAGAUGGUUGAAGGGUGUAGGAGUCGAUCAUGGCAGGCAAAUCCACCAUGAGAUCCGAACCUGAUAGUAUGCCGCGUCCUUCGGGACAAGGCAAUAGUGCGCGUAAGCAUGCUGCCGAGAAAAUCCGCUAAACUUAAUCCUGCAGGUACCCGUACCGCAAACGGACACACGUAGUCGGGAUGAAUAUUCUAAGGCGCUUGAGUGAUUCACGGUUAAGGAACUAGGCAAACUGACCCUGUAACUUCGGGAUAAAGGGUCCCUACCCUUUUAUGGGAGGGCGCAGAGAAUCGGUCCAGGCAACUGUUUAACAAAAACACAGGGCUGUGCCAAAUCGAAAGAUCCAGUAUACAGCCUGACACCUGCCCGGUGCUGGAAGGUUAAGAGGAGAUGUCAUCAAUAAGAGAAGCGUUGAAUUGAAGCCCCAGUAAACGGCGGCCGUAACUAUAACGGUCCUAAGGUAGCGAAAUUCCUUGUCGGGUAAGUUCCGACCUGCACGAAUGGUGUAAUGAUCUGGACGCUGUCUCAACCGUGAGCUCAGUGAAAUUGUAGUAUCGGUGAAGAUGCCGAUUACCCGCGAUGGGACGAAAAGACCCCGUGAACCUUUACUAUAGCUUAUCAUUGAAUCUGGGCACGUGAUGUGUAGGAUAGGUCGGAGGCUUUGAAGCAGGUACGCCAGUAUUUGUGGAGCCGCUGUUGAAAUACGACCCUUUAUUUGUUUGGAUUCUAACCCGUGGA